CCACCCGAGCGAGCGAGGCCGGCUGCGCAUGUGAAGCUCGCGUGCUCGGCGACCCGUCUGUUUUGGAUGUAGCUCGUUUGUCGGGCUCCUGGCGUUCUCUUGUGUUCCGUGCGCAUUUCGACAGGGCACAGCUGCACUACUGGACUACAGCAAGGCUGGCCCCGAACAUGGCGAUGUAUCACUCAGGCACGCUGAGCAAAGAACACACCGUUUUUCUUCAAACAGGCAGCCACAGUUCAAAGGAAUGCGGAGUGAGUGCUCUACUUUUUCGCUCGGAGUUGCUCCACCGCGCGCGCGCUCAACAUCGCGGAACAGCACAGCACCGGAAAAAGGUGAUCCGUCGGGCAAGCAGCAACGAAGGCCAUCCGAGGGAGGUCGUGUGUCAGCCAUCUCGCGUCGCCGCGAAAACAUGACAGUCGUUCGUCAUUCGUUGGAUAUAACAACAAAUCCUCCAUGGCACCCGCUUUACAUAACGCAAGAAGGCAGUUGCAAGGACACAAGGAUGUGAAAGAGCCAGCCCAGCGCGGCUCCACGUAGUGCAGACGAGCGCACGCCUAAGAAUCAAAAUACACAGCCAUGCAAUUUGGACGAGAAAACUAGAACGUGGGUAUAUUGGGUGUACCAUUUCACUAAAUGUCAACAAAACUUUCAAAAUACAGUAUGUCACACCAAGAUGAAAAUUCUCACGUGCUCUAGGCAGUUAUCUUAACAUGGUAUAUUUAUGUAAUGUCUCUGAUGGGAAAGUGAAAAUCAAGUAUGCUCUCUGGAGACAAACACAUAGGAGUAAGUGACAUUCAAAAGCUAGAAAUGUGUUUUAAAAAACGCUGAUUAGUUUUGUGAGAAGUGACUGCUUUUUGUCUUGCCUCUCUACAGAUAUAUAUCCAUGUGAUAAAAAAUAGUGGUACAAUGAAAUACCAUAUUUGCUUAGUGACAUGAUACAUACUUGCAAUGAGCACGGUGCCUGUGUUCACUAUGAAAAGCAACAGCUCAUGCUUGGUUAGGCGCUUACAUACAUUUAAUAACUUACAUUUAACAGCACGUGAAUGCAAAGGUGCAAAUACAAACCGCUGUCAUUCUGUAUUUUAAAUGCUGACAUGAAGCAAACCGAUUUUCAUGUCUUCUCUUGUAUCUAUUUCUUACACCUAAUUUUAGAAUUAUUGCUUCCUUUUAGGUUACAGAAAGUGGAAGCAUUGGGGCAAGAGAAUGCCAUGUUUAAGUCAUUAUCAUUUACGUGCCUGCUCACGAAAGCAGUUCAUUAGAACCACUCGUGCCUUCCGAAGCGAAAGCAAGCAGCAAUUAAGACCUCUAUCUGUGUACACCGUGGUGCACGCCUUACGUCUUAGAAACCGUAGAAUCACUUGGAAUUGAAAAUUAUUUUAAAGGUAAAAUUGUGGUUUCCCCUUCUGUGAAGUAGUCAUAUGAUAGCUUCUGGCAGGUAUUCGAUAUUUUGAUUAGGGUGACUCAAUCUACUUGCCAACCAAGUAUGCUAGUGGAGGUAGAGAUGCAUUCAAUGCGAAGAACCGAGAGCAUCUGAGUAGAACACUCGUUCAUGAAUUGGCAGGUGUGAACAUAGAGUGUUAAGCAAAAUCUCCUUAGUUUCGUGGCUUCUGUAGACAUAAUUUUUAUAAGGCAGAAUAAAAUUAAAGCAUUUUUGCACAUGGUAAAUUUCUGGACUUAAGAUAGAGUGCACAGUGAGGCGAUGUAUUAUCUUCCCAGACACACAUGUACUUGUUUUGAGACGAAGAUACUGUGAAGUGCGAUAAUUUUUCUUACUAUAGUGCAUCUUAAUACCUUCAGUAGGAAAAAAGCUUUCGUUUCAGCUAGUUGGUUCAUUGUACAAGUAUAUGCAUAGUCGCAUGCAAAACCCACGUCCAUGGAAGGGACAUGCGAAACAGGAUAGUGCCUUUCUGAAUUUAUGAUUUGCUUCGUUGUUUGCCUUUUUCGUGCACUUCCCUGCCUGUACUUCUGCUUAUGUCGCCUUUGAUUCAUCAUAAUCAUCACAUCUGAUUUUUUGUUCACAUCUGAAGCCAUGCUAUAUUUUAGUUAGAUUGCAUUUUCAUCGAGUCACAAUAAUUGAUCAUGUAGUUAUACAAGCUGCUCCUGUGUAUCUGUUUGUGUCUGUGUAUCUGUUUCUUCUUCGUCCUCGUCCAGUCGCGCUUGUACACUCUACCAUGGAUUCUAACCAACUAGCCCGCCAGCGUGUUUUAACCAUGCUCCUCAGAAGUAUAGCAUACUUACCAUGAGGGGAAUGAAAAGCUACCAUACAUGACAAGACAUUUGAUGCGCAAGAUUUUAAUGCCAAUGCUCCUUGCAUUUUUAUACCCAUUUGCUAUACACUAUAUAAUAUUGUAAAUUUAAUUUUACUUGUGAAAAAGUGUAACGGAUCAAUCCUAAGAGCACCAGGAAACUACUUAUAUGAGGAGGCCAACCGAAUAGGAAAUAUGAUACGCCUCUGUACCACUUUGAGACCUGGCCAGGAUAUUGCUGCAAAGCCACGACAAGACACACUUAGAAAUAAUGGGGUGCAGUCAAUACAUGAAUGACUUUAUGUGAAAUAUAAGCAAAGCCAGCUAGACCUGCGGUGUCCCAUGAGAAUGUACAGCACAUUCUAAAUGCACUGUACUCUCAGUCAGGAACAUUCAUACGCUCUAUAGGGGGUUAUCAGAUGAGCUGCUGUCUUAGAAUAUGGCACACAAAAAAGUUUCUUGCACAAUUUAUCUACAUUACCAGCCCCAUGCUUAGCAGCUCAUCUGAUAACCUCUGCCAUAUAAGUGCAUGCGUUUUGUGCCAGAAAUGCGUUUGCUGGCCAUGUGGCGCAUAUUUCUCUUCAAUCGUAGCGUCAAUACUUUGUGAGCUUGCAUAUGCUUGUUCUAUGUUGAACUUUCCAUGUAUACUUCAUUUGUGAGAAGCUGGAGCCAAAUGUAAAUAAAGGACAUUUCUACACUGUAAUACUGAUGAAACUUUAGAGAAUAUACUUAUGUUUUAUUACUAGAUGUGUUCUAAAGUUCAUGGGC
This is a long non-coding RNA of Dermacentor albipictus, 3014 nucleotides long. RefSeq lists it as uncharacterized. Lineage: Eukaryota; Metazoa; Arthropoda; Arachnida; Ixodida; Ixodidae. The record is from RefSeq and is a predicted model, not a curated record.